This 73-nucleotide transfer RNA is filed under the name Danio rerio (zebrafish). Its description in RNAcentral is "tRNA-Phe (GAA) (tRNA-Phe-GAA-31-1)". It matches the Rfam family "tRNA". From Rfam's summary of the family: Transfer RNA (tRNA) molecules are approximately 80 nucleotides in length. Their secondary structure includes four short double-helical elements and three loops (D, anti-codon, and T loops). The record is from Rfam by way of RNAcentral. Lineage: Eukaryota; Metazoa; Chordata; Actinopteri; Cypriniformes; Danionidae.
GCUGAAAUAGUUCAGUUGGGAAAGCGUUAGACUGAAGAUCUAAAGGUCCCUGGUUCGAUCCCGGGUUUCGGCA